RNAcentral lists this ribosomal RNA (236 nucleotides) under uncultured Sulfurospirillum sp. Its description in RNAcentral is "partial 16S ribosomal RNA". It matches the Rfam family "Bacterial small subunit ribosomal RNA", at positions 216 to 451 of the family's 1533-position model. The record is from RNAcentral. Lineage: Bacteria; Pseudomonadati; Campylobacterota; Epsilonproteobacteria; Campylobacterales; Sulfurospirillaceae.
UGCUAAGAGAUGGGGCUAUAUCGCAUCAGCUAGUUGGUAGGGUAAGGGCUCACCAAGGCGAUGACGCAUANCUGGUUUGAGAGGAUGAUCCCCCACACUGGAAGUGAGCCACGGUCCAGACUCUUACGGGAGGCAGCAGUGUGGAAUAUUGCACAAGGGGGGAAACCCUGAUGCAGCAACGCCGCGUGGAGGAUGACACUUUUAGGAGCGUAAACUCCUUUUAUAAGGGAAGAUAA